CGAAAGCCUGACGGAGCAAUACCGCGUGAGGGAUGAAAGCCUGUGGGUUGUAAACCUCUUUUCUCAGGGAAGAAGAACUGACGGUGCCUGAGGAAUCAGCAUCGGCUAACUCCGUGCCAGCAGCCGCGGUAAGACGGAGGAUGCAAGUGUUAUCCGGAAUCACUGGGCGUAAAGCGUCUGUAGGUGGUUUAAUAAGUCAACUGUUAAAUCUUGAGGCUCAACUUCAAAAUCGCAGUCGAAACUAUUAGACUAGAGUAUAGUAGAGGUAAAGGGAAUUUCCAGUGGAGCGGUGAAAUGCGUAGAUAUUGGAAAGAACACCGAUGGCGAAAGCACUUUACUGGGCUAUUACUAACACUCAGAGACGAAAGCUAGGGUAGCA
Molecule: ribosomal RNA, 379 nt
Filed under: uncultured cyanobacterium
Lineage: Bacteria; Bacillati; Cyanobacteriota
Description: bacterial SSU rRNA
Rfam family: Bacterial small subunit ribosomal RNA
Source: RNAcentral